RNAcentral lists this ribosomal RNA (506 nucleotides) under uncultured bacterium. RNAcentral's name for it is "partial 16S ribosomal RNA". It matches the Rfam family "Bacterial small subunit ribosomal RNA", at positions 29 to 523 of the family's 1533-position model. The record is from RNAcentral.
AGUGAACGCUGGCGGUAGGCCUAACACAUGCAAGUCGAACGGCAGCACAGGAGAGCUUGCUCUCUGGGUGGCGAGUGGCGGACGGGUGAGGAAUACAUCGGAAUCUACUUUUUCGUGGGGGAUAACGUAGGGAAACUUACGCUAAUACCGCAUACGACCUACGGGUGAAAGCAGGGGAUCUUCGGACCUUGCGCGAUUGAAUGAGCCGAUGUCGGAUUAGCUAGUUGGCGGGGUAAAGACCCACCAAGGCGACGAUCCGUAGCUGGUCUGAGAGGAUGAUCAGCCACACUGGAACUGAGACACGGUCCAGACUCCUACGGGAGGCAGCAGUGGGGAAUAUUGGACAAUGGGCGCAAGCCUGAUCCAGCCAUACCGCGUGGGUGAAGAAGGCCUUCGGGUUGUAAAGCCCUUUUGUUGGGAAAGAAAUCCAGCUGGUUAAUACCCGGAUGGGAUGACGGUACCCAAAGAAUAAGCACCGGCUAACUUCGUGCCAGCAGCCGCCGUAA